Molecule: ribosomal RNA, 471 nt
Filed under: uncultured bacterium
Lineage: Bacteria
Description: bacterial SSU rRNA
Rfam family: Bacterial small subunit ribosomal RNA
Source: RNAcentral
AGAGUUUGAUCCUGGCUCAGAACGAACGCUGGCGGCAGGCUUAACACAUGCAAGUCGAACGGUCUCUUCGGAGGCAGUGGCAGACGGGUGAGUAAUGCAUGGGAAUCUACCGUUCUCUACGGAAUAACUCAGGGAAACUUGUGCUAAUACCGUAUACGCCCUUUUGGGGAAAGAUUUAUCGGAGAAUGAUGAGCCCAUGUUGGAUUAGCUAGUUGGUAGGGUAAAGGCCUACCAAGGCGACGAUCCAUAGCUGGUCUGAGAGGAUGAUCAGCCACACUGGGACUGAGACACGGCCCAGACUCCUACGGGAGGCAGCAGUGGGGAAUAUUGGACAAUGGGCGCAAGCCUGAUCCAGCCAUGCCGCGUGAGUGAUGAAGGCCCUAGGGUUGUAAAGCUCUUUCACCGGUGAAGAUAAUGACGGUAACCGGAGAAGAAGCCCCGGCUAACUUCGUGCCAGCAGCCGCGGUAAUA